CCUACGGGAGGCAGCAGUGGGGAAUUUUGGACAAUGGGCGCAAGCCUGAUCCAGCCAUUCCGCGUGCAGGAUGAAGGCCCUCGGGUUGUAAACUGCUUUUGUACAGAACGAAAAGGCUCUGGUUAAUACCUGGGGCUCAUGACGGUACUGUAAGAAUAAGCACCGGCUAACUACGUGCCAGCAGCCGCGGUAAUACGUAGGGUGCAAGCGUUAAUCGGAAUUACUGGGCGUAAAGCGUGCGCAGGCGGUGAUGUAAGACAGAGGUGAAAUCCCCGGGCUCAACCUGGGAACUGCCUUUGUGACUGCAUCGCUGGAGUACGGCAGAGGGGGAUGGAAUUCCGCGUGUAGCAGUGAAAUGCGUAGAUAUGCGGAGGAACACCGAUGGCGAAGGCAAUCCCCUGGGCCUGUACUGACGCUCAUGCACGAAAGCGUGGGGAGCAAACAGGAUUAGAUACCCCAGUAGUC
Molecule: ribosomal RNA, 465 nt
Filed under: uncultured bacterium
Lineage: Bacteria
Description: bacterial SSU rRNA
Rfam family: Bacterial small subunit ribosomal RNA
Source: RNAcentral